UCAGGUCUCCAAGGUGAACAGCCUCUGGCCAAUGGAAUAAUGUAGGCAAUGGAAGUCGGCAAAACAGAUCCGUAACUUCGUGAAAAGGAUUGGCUCUGAGGACUGGGCUCGGGGGUCCCGGCCCCGAACCCGUUGGCUGUCGGCGGAUUGCUCGAGCUGCUCACGCGGCGAGAGCGGGUCGCCGCGUGCAGGCCGGGGGAUGGACCGGGAAUCGCCCCUUCGGGGGCUUUUCCCGAGCAU
Molecule: ribosomal RNA, 240 nt
Filed under: Triticum aestivum (bread wheat)
Lineage: Eukaryota; Viridiplantae; Streptophyta; Magnoliopsida; Poales; Poaceae
Description: partial small subunit ribosomal RNA
Rfam family: Eukaryotic large subunit ribosomal RNA
Source: RNAcentral